UGAACGCGAAGAACCUUACCAAGGCUUGACAUACACCGGAAACGUCUGGAGACAGGCGCCCCCUUGUGGUCGGUGUACAGGUGGUGCAUGGCUGUCGUCAGCUCGUGUCGUGAGAUGUUGGGUUAAGUCCCGCAACGAGCGCAACCCUUGUCCUGUGUUGCCAGCAUGCCCUUCGGGGUGAUGGGGACUCACAGGAGACCGCCGGGGUCAACUCGGAGGAAGGUGGGGACGACGUCAAGUCAUCAUGCCCCUUAUGUCUUGGGCUGCACACGUGCUACAAUGGCCGGUACAAUGAGCUGCGAUACCGUGAGGUGGAGCGAAUCUCAAAAAGCCGGUCUCAGUUCGGAUUGGGGUCUGCAACUCGACCCCAUGAAGUCGGAGUUGCUAGUAAUCGCAGAUCAGCAUUGCUGCGGUGAAUACGUUCCCGGGUCUUGUACACACGCA
This 444-nucleotide ribosomal RNA is filed under the name bacterium CPTAC87. RNAcentral describes it as "bacterial SSU rRNA". It matches the Rfam family "Bacterial small subunit ribosomal RNA", at positions 956 to 1394 of the family's 1533-position model. The record is from RNAcentral.